This is a long non-coding RNA of Etheostoma cragini (Arkansas darter), 179 nucleotides long. RefSeq lists it as uncharacterized. NCBI's taxonomy places the organism in Eukaryota, Metazoa, Chordata, Actinopteri, Perciformes, Percidae. The transcript has 3 exons. The record is from RefSeq and is a predicted model, not a curated record.
AUUGAGUUACCAAGCUUAGCGGAGGUAUGCUAACGCUAUUAGCUAAAGUUACUGUGUUGACCUGGCAUCAGUAAGUUACACACGUAAAGUUACACACAAAAGCAUGGCAGGAUAACAGCAACUUCUCUGUCUUUCCAUAAUGUAGUCAGACACUUAAUACAAUCUGAGCCCGUCAGUGG